UAAUUAUAAUCUAUUUAUUUGAAGAAAAAGAAAUUUAUAGCUAUUUAGCAAAUGCUGCUGAAGUGAAGAGGCACAGUGCCCUUUAAAGCAUCCUUUUCUUGUCAUUUUGCUUCGAGAGAUUAGAUGGUUUCUGUUUGUUUAUGCUGAGGAUUACAGAGAGUGAAGAAAAUAGUGAGAAGAGAAAAAUAGAGAGAGAAGAAACAUGGAUGAAUAGAUAGAGAAACCAAGAUUUUCUUUUUCCCUUCUGUCUACAGAAUUUACAGUUACUUCAAGAUCUUGAGAGGUUACCAUAUGUAAAAUGGAUUCUUUCGAGGCUGUAAAGCUUGUGCACGACAGAAUCUCAAAAUUGGAACCAGAACAUGUUGCUAGGAAGAUAAUUGGGUAUAUUUACUUGCAAGAUCUUCCUGACCAGGAAAUGAUAAGGUUAGCUUUAGGUCCUGACAGCUUAAUCCACAACUUGAUACAAAAGGCAAAAUCUGCUUUUCUGUUUGCUUCGUCGCCAGUUCUUUCACCUCCAAUUUCUCCUUCCAUGCCGAGCCCUAUUUCAGAUCCUUCUCUUCAGAUUUCACCUUUUUCAUCUCGCGCUGCAUUUCAAAAAGUAACUUCUUACUGGGAUCCUCAGUUACCUGCUGAACAGCCACCGCAGCCAAUGCCUAAUCCUGCUUUCAAACUUUUACCAUACGCUGAUUCAAUUCCCGAAGAUUAUGGUUACCAAAACCAAUAUAUUGGUUUGGACGAUCAGUUAGAACCCUUCAUUUCUGGAACUUCAGGUUUUCUGAGUGAUUUCUAUUGCCCAGAAGCUGCAUUUAGUGAUAUGAGUAAUAGGGGUAGUGGAAUUUCUUCGAAUCUGGAGUAUCCCGUUAAGACUUGUCACUAUUUCAACAAGGGCUUUUGUAAACAUGGCAGUAACUGUAGGUAUUUUCAUGGAGAAUCUUUCGCAGAGAGCUAUUCGCAUAUGUUUGGUCCUAAUUCCUAUGCAACUGCUAAUGAAGAUCAAGUUUUCUUGCCUGGGUCUCUUGAAAAAUUGGAACUUGAAAUCACUGAGUUAUUGAAAUCCCGAAGAGGCCAUCCGGUUUCAAUUGCUUCUCUGCCAAUGAUGUACUACGAGAGAUAUGGAAGAACUCUGCAGGCUGAAGGGUAUCUGACUGAGAGCCAGAGACAUGGUAAAGCUGGCUAUAGUUUGACUAAACUUCUUGCUCGACUGAAAAAUAGCAUCCGGCUUAUUGACAGCAGGCCUCAUGGACAGCAUGCAGUCAUACUGGCUGAAGAUGCCCCCAAGUAUAUGGACAUCCGGGGUGAAAGGAAUGACCCUGGCCCUAUUGUUAGCGGUUCACGUCAAAUUUAUCUAACUUUCCCAGCUGAGAGUACUUUUACAGAGGAAGACGUUUCGAAUUACUUCAAUACCUUCGGUCCAGUUCAAGAUGUGAGGAUUCCCUGCCAGCAGAAACGGAUGUUUGGAUUUGUCACUUUUGUGAGUGCGGACACUGUGAAGUUGAUUUUGUCCAAGGGAAAUCCACAUUAUGUUUGUGGGGCUCGUGUUCUUGUGAAACCUUAUAGAGAAAAAUCAAAGCUUAUGGAAAGGAAGUACCUUGAAAAAUUCGAGCAUCCAAUGUAUUACCACUCUCACCCUUUUGAUAUCGACCCUGAGCUUCAAGCGAGAUGGGAAUCUUCUAGGAUAAUUAGAAGGCAGCUCAUGGAAGAGCAUGAACAGGCCCUUGAACUCGAGACAAUGCGUCUUUCACAGCUCCGGCUAACACACAAACAUCUGGCAAGUCAGUCGUGCAUGGGUUAUCCCCUGGACGAGUUAAAACCACCUGAAGUCAAACUUGGGCAGAUCAUUCCAAAUUUACAUCGGUAGAGCGGUUCAAUUAUCUGAUUGAUGUUCUGAACAAUGGCUCUACUAGCCCUGAUAACCCCAAGUACUCGAUCAUCAAUUGUGGUGAGCAGGAAAGCCAUCAAGGACUCAAUCUCCCAGAGAGCCCCUUUGCAUCUGCAGCUAAUAGCAUUUCGGCCGUCAUAUAAAUUCAGGACAGAACACGAGUUUAUAGACUGCAGGUUUUAGAAGGCAACGUCUCUAAUCUGACAGAUUUUCCGCGUUACAAAUCAAAUGAAAGCUGCAAGUACAUAUCGGUAAAGAAGAAACACUUAGGAGCAUGUCCUCAUUACUCGAUCAAGAGGAGGUAGGAAAGAAGACAAUGAUAUACAGAGAAGUACAUAUAAGAAGUUUCGUUUUGAAAUCUCUAUCAUAGAAAGAGGAAGGAUAGAGCUUUGUCCGUAGAAAGAGAAUGUGAUAUAGGAGUCGAGUCUGGCUAUGAAAGAAAGUGGUACGUACAUAUGCAGGUCGCGGAGAAGUGAAAAUAUGUUUACAAUCUCUGUGAUAGAUAAAUAACUACUCAAUGAAUUGAGUUUCAUAUUUUGAACUUUGAACUAUCUUUUGAAUACAGAAAUAUAUGAUUACAUGGUUUUGUUUCUU
Molecule: RNA transcript, 2473 nt
Organism: Olea europaea var. sylvestris
Lineage: Eukaryota; Viridiplantae; Streptophyta; Magnoliopsida; Lamiales; Oleaceae
Gene name: zinc finger CCCH domain-containing protein 18-like
Exons: 8
Source: RefSeq, a predicted model, not a curated record